UCGCUGUGCAUUCAUCAUCAC
Molecule: non-coding RNA, 21 nt
Filed under: Caenorhabditis elegans
Lineage: Eukaryota; Metazoa; Nematoda; Chromadorea; Rhabditida; Rhabditidae
Source: RNAcentral